This 71-nucleotide transfer RNA is filed under the name Angiostrongylus costaricensis. It matches the Rfam family "tRNA". Rfam says of the family: Transfer RNA (tRNA) molecules are approximately 80 nucleotides in length. Their secondary structure includes four short double-helical elements and three loops (D, anti-codon, and T loops). Further hydrogen bonds mediate the characteristic L-shaped molecular structure. tRNAs have two regions of fundamental functional importance: the anti-codon, which is responsible for specific mRNA codon recognition, and the 3' end, to which the tRNAs corresponding amino acid is attached (by aminoacyl-tRNA synthetases). tRNAs cope with the degeneracy of the genetic code in two manners: having more than one tRNA (with a specific anti-codon) for a particular amino acid; and 'wobble' base-pairing, i.e. permitting non-standard base-pairing at the 3rd anti-codon position. Lineage: Eukaryota; Metazoa; Nematoda; Chromadorea; Rhabditida; Metastrongylidae. The record is from Rfam by way of RNAcentral.
GCAUUGGUGGUUCAGUGGUAGAAUGCUCGCCUGCCACGCGGGCGACCCGGGUUCGAUUCUCGCCCAAUGCC